CGAACACGGUAGUUAAGCUUCUCUGCGCCAAUGGUAGUUGGGGGUUUCCCUCUGCGAGAGUAGGUCGCUGCCGGGC
This 76-nucleotide ribosomal RNA is filed under the name Listeria welshimeri. The record is from RNAcentral. Lineage: Bacteria; Bacillati; Bacillota; Bacilli; Caryophanales; Listeriaceae.